Molecule: ribosomal RNA, 253 nt
Filed under: uncultured bacterium
Lineage: Bacteria
Description: partial 16S ribosomal RNA
Rfam family: Bacterial small subunit ribosomal RNA
Source: RNAcentral
UACGUAGGUGGCAAGCGUUGUCCGGAUUUACUGGGCGUAAAGAGCGCGCAGGCGGUCGUACAAGUCGCGUGUGGAAGCCCCCGGCUCAACUGGGGAGGGUCACGCGAUACUGUUCGACUCGAAGGCAGGAGAGGGAAGCGGAAUUCCCGGUGUAGUGGUGAAAUGCGUAGAUAUCGGGAGGAACACCAGUGGCGAAGGCGGCUUCCUGGCCUGUUCUUGACGCUGAGGCGCGAAAGCUAGGGGAGCAAACGGG